UUCCGUAGGGGUGCCUGCGGAGGGAUCAUUACCGAGUUUACAACUCCCAAACCCCUGUGAACAUACCUAUACGUUGCCUCGGCGGAUCAGCCCGCGCCCCGUAAAACGGGACGGCCCGCCCGAGGACCCCUAAACUCUGUUUUUAGUGGAACUUCUGAGUAAAACAAACAAAUAAAUCAAAACUUUCAACAACGGAUCUCUUGGUUCUGGCAUCGAUGAAGAACGCAGCAAAAUGCGAUAAGUAAUGUGAAUUGCAGAAUUCAGUGAAUCAUCGAAUCUUUGAACGCACAUUGCGCCCGCCAGUAUUCUGGCGGGCAUGCCUGUUCGAGCGUCAUUUCAACCCUCAAGCUCAGCUUGGUGUUGGGACUCGCGGUAACCCGCGUUCCCCAAAUCGAUUGGCGGUCACGUCGAGCUUCCAUAGCGUAGUAAUCAUACACCUCGUUACUGGUAAUCGUCGCGGCCACGCCGUUAAACCCCAACUUCUGAAUGUGACCUCGGAUCAGGUAGAAUUCCUCCCAACCCCUGUGAACAUACCUAUACGUUGCCUCGGCGGAUCAGCCCGCGCCCCGUAAAACGGGACGGCCCGCCCGAGGACCCCUAAACUCUGUUUUUAGUGGAACUUCUGAGUAAAACAAACAAAUAAAUCAAAACUUUCAACAACGGAUCUCUUGGUUCUGGCAUCGAUGAAGAACGCAGCAAAAUGCGAUAAGUAAUGUGAAUUGCAGAAUUCAGUGAAUCAUCGAAUCUUUGAACGCACAUUGCGCCCGCCAGUAUUCUGGCGGGCAUGCCUGUUCGAGCGUCAUUUCAACCCUCAAGCUCAGCUUGGUGUUGGGACUCGCGGUAACCCGCGUUCCCCAAAUCGAUUGGCGGUCACGUCGAGCUUCCAUAGCGUAGUAAUCAUACACCUCGUUACUGGUAAUCGUCGCGGCCACGCCGUUAAACCCCAACUUCUGAAUGUUGACCUCGGAUCAGGUAGGAAUACCCGCUGAACUUAAGCAUAUCAAAAGCCGGGAGGAA
Molecule: unclassified non-coding RNA, 1017 nt
Filed under: Fusarium sp. DK-2017
Lineage: Eukaryota; Fungi; Ascomycota; Sordariomycetes; Hypocreales; Nectriaceae
Description: sequence contains ITS1 and ITS2
Rfam family: 5.8S ribosomal RNA (bases 181-334)
Source: RNAcentral